Molecule: ribosomal RNA, 755 nt
Filed under: Bacillus cereus
Lineage: Bacteria; Bacillati; Bacillota; Bacilli; Caryophanales; Bacillaceae
Description: bacterial SSU rRNA
Rfam family: Bacterial small subunit ribosomal RNA
Source: RNAcentral
CUAAUACAUGCAAGUCGAGCGAAUGGAUUAAGAGCUUGCUCUUAUGAAGUUAGCGGCGGACGGGUGAGUAACACGUGGGUAACCUGCCCAUAAGACUGGGAUAACUCCGGGAAACCGGGGCUAAUACCGGAUAAUAUUUUGAACCGCAUGGUUCGAAAUUGAAAGGCGGCUUCGGCUGUCACUUAUGGAUGGACCCGCGUCGCAUUAGCUAGUUGGUGAGGUAACGGCUCACCAAGGCAACGAUGCGUAGCCGACCUGAGAGGGUGAUCGGCCACACUGGGACUGAGACACGGCCCAGACUCCUACGGGAGGCAGCAGUAGGGAAUCUUCCGCAAUGGACGAAAGUCUGACGGAGCAACGCCGCGUGAGUGAUGAAGGCUUUCGGGUCGUAAAACUCUGUUGUUAGGGAAGAACAAGUGCUAGUUGAAUAAGCUGGCACCUUGACGGUACCUAACCAGAAAGCCACGGCUAACUACGUGCCAGCAGCCGCGGUAAUACGUAGGUGGCAAGCGUUAUCCGGAAUUAUUGGGCGUAAAGCGCGCGCAGGUGGUUUCUUAAGUCUGAUGUGAAAGCCCACGGCUCAACCGUGGAGGGUCAUUGGAAACUGGGAGACUUGAGUGCAGAAGAGGAAAGUGGAAUUCCAUGUGUAGCGGUGAAAUGCGUAGAGAUAUGGAGGAACACCAGUGGCGAAGGCGACUUUCUGGUCUGUAACUGACACUGAGGCGCGAAAGCGUGGGGAGCAAACAGGAUUAGAU